Molecule: unclassified non-coding RNA, 18 nt
Filed under: Chlamydomonas reinhardtii
Lineage: Eukaryota; Viridiplantae; Chlorophyta; Chlorophyceae; Chlamydomonadales; Chlamydomonadaceae
Description: small RNA Cre_3954
Source: RNAcentral
UUGCGGGUUCGAGUCCCG